AAGGGUUUAGCUUAAUUAAAGUGUCUGAUUUGCAUUCAGGCGAUGUGAGUUGUAAGCUUGCAGCCCUUA
RNAcentral lists this transfer RNA (69 nucleotides) under Trinomys yonenagae. RNAcentral's name for it is "tRNA-Ala". It matches the Rfam family "tRNA". Rfam says of the family: Transfer RNA (tRNA) molecules are approximately 80 nucleotides in length. Their secondary structure includes four short double-helical elements and three loops (D, anti-codon, and T loops). Lineage: Eukaryota; Metazoa; Chordata; Mammalia; Rodentia; Echimyidae. The record is from RNAcentral.